GGAGGAAAGUAGGGGAUCGAAAGACCUUAUGCUUUUGGAGCGGCCGAUGUCUGAUUAGCUAGUUGGUAAGGUAAUGGCUUACCAAGGCGACGAUCAGUAGUUGGUCUGAGAGGACGACCAGCCACACUGGGACUGAGACACGGCCCAGACUCCUACGGGAGGCAGCAGUGGGGAAUUUUGGACAAUGGGCGCAAGCCUGAUCCAGCAAUGCCGCGUGAGUGAAGAAGGCCUUCGGGUUGUAAAGCUCUUUCAGUCGAGAAGAAAAGAUUACUGAUAAUACCAGUAAUCCAUGACGGUAUCGACAGAAGAAGCACCGGCUAACUACGUGCCAGCAGCCGCGGUAAUACGUAGGGUGCGAGCGUUAAUCGGAAUUACUGGGCGUAAAGGGUGCGCAGGCGGUUAUGUAAAUCGAGAUGUGAAAUCCCCCCCGGGGGGGGA
Molecule: ribosomal RNA, 438 nt
Filed under: uncultured Nitrosomonas sp.
Lineage: Bacteria; Pseudomonadati; Pseudomonadota; Betaproteobacteria; Nitrosomonadales; Nitrosomonadaceae
Description: bacterial SSU rRNA
Rfam family: Bacterial small subunit ribosomal RNA
Source: RNAcentral